Mesocricetus auratus (golden hamster) is the source of this 302-nucleotide ribozyme. It matches the Rfam family "Nuclear RNase P". Rfam says of the family: Ribonuclease P (RNase P) is a ubiquitous endoribonuclease, found in archaea, bacteria and eukarya as well as chloroplasts and mitochondria. Its best characterised activity is the generation of mature 5'-ends of tRNAs by cleaving the 5'-leader elements of precursor-tRNAs. Lineage: Eukaryota; Metazoa; Chordata; Mammalia; Rodentia; Cricetidae. The record is from Ensembl.
GGCAAAGGAAGCUCAUCAGCCGGGGGAGGGGGGGAGUCCGUGCUGAAUGCCGGGGAGGUCUGAGACUGGGGCCUCCCGCGGACCUCCCCGAGCGGGGGAGGGGGGGCUGGGUAGAGGGGAAGGGGGGUGAGUUCCCAGAGAGCAGGGCAACGAGCAUGGGCAGACUGGCCAGGAGAGGCCCUGAGUUCGCAGAUGCCUCCCUCACCGGAGCUUGGAACAAACUCUAGGCCAGCGAAGACCAGGUUUAGAUUUCUUGUGUUACGAUACAUCUCAGAAGAAAAAUCAAAUAUUUUCGAUGUAUC